CCUCCCUCUCAAAAAGAAAUAUUCGCUUCUGAAAGGUUCCAUUCCUCCAUAUUAUAUGUUUAUGUUAAAUCAUUAUUUCAUAGUUUAUUUCACAAAACAUGGUUAUUUUGAAAUAGAAGUUUCCGUAUGAUCCAAGUCAAGGUCGCUUUCUUUCCUCUAGAAUGUAUUAAAAAAAAAAGUAAAAAAAUAAAAAAACGAAUCCCUUUAAUACGAUUAGGAAGGCAAUGUCCGCGUGGGAUAGCACACUCGACAGAGACACGAAUAAAGUAGGUCAAAACUCAAAAAUAUGAUAUGAGUGGGUCCCACGUACCACGUGUGAAGCAACCCGAUGGAGCAACGGCUGAUGACACAAUGCAUGCACAUAGCGAGAGGAGGAGAGACAUCCAAUGACCAAGACGUGUCUUGUUUGGUGAACAAAAGGGAGCAGACCCAGCGUUUGGUAACCACAUAUUUAGACACGUGCUACAAUUCUGGGUUCUGGGACUCUUUCUAUAAUUGAAAAUGACCUAAAAAAGAAAGACCCGAAAAUGUGCGUUGUGUUUCACGGUUUGGGAUGAAUCAUGAUUGGUAC
This 571-nucleotide long non-coding RNA is filed under the name Prunus persica (peach). RNAcentral describes it as "long non-coding RNA (PPER_LNC007721)". Lineage: Eukaryota; Viridiplantae; Streptophyta; Magnoliopsida; Rosales; Rosaceae. The record is from RNAcentral.